GCCGCAGUGGCGAAACGGUAGACGCGCCGGUCUUCCAAACCGGUUCUCCCCCGAGAGUACGGGUUCGAAUCCCGUCUGCGGUACGA
Molecule: transfer RNA, 86 nt
Filed under: Methylobacterium terricola
Lineage: Bacteria; Pseudomonadati; Pseudomonadota; Alphaproteobacteria; Hyphomicrobiales; Methylobacteriaceae
Description: Methylobacterium sp. 17Sr1-39 tRNA-Gly
Rfam family: tRNA
About the family: Transfer RNA (tRNA) molecules are approximately 80 nucleotides in length. Their secondary structure includes four short double-helical elements and three loops (D, anti-codon, and T loops). Further hydrogen bonds mediate the characteristic L-shaped molecular structure. tRNAs have two regions of fundamental functional importance: the anti-codon, which is responsible for specific mRNA codon recognition, and the 3' end, to which the tRNAs corresponding amino acid is attached (by aminoacyl-tRNA synthetases). tRNAs cope with the degeneracy of the genetic code in two manners: having more than one tRNA (with a specific anti-codon) for a particular amino acid; and 'wobble' base-pairing, i.e. permitting non-standard base-pairing at the 3rd anti-codon position.
Source: RNAcentral